GACGAACGCUGGCGGCGUGCUUAACACAUGCAAGUCGAACGGAAAGGCCUGCAGCUUGCUGCGGGUACUCGAGUGGCGAACGGGUGAGUAACACGUGGGUGAUCUGCCUUUCACUUCGGGAUAAGCUUGGGAAACUGGGUCUAAUACCGGAUAGGACAGCUGUUUAGUGUCAGUUGUGGAAAGUUUUUUCGGUGCAAGAUGAGCUCGCGGCCUAUCAGCUUGUUGGUGGGGUAAUGGCCUACCAAGGCGUCGACGGGUAGCCGGCCUGGGAGGGUGGACGGCCACAUUGGGACUGAGAUACGGCCCAGACUCCUACGGGAGGCAGCAGUGGGGAAUAUUGCACAAUGGGCGGAAGCCUAAUGCAGCGACGCCGCGUGGGGGAUGAAGGCCUUCGGGUUGUAAACUCCUUUCGACAGGGACGAAGCUUUUGUGGCGGUACCUGCAUAAGAAGCACCGGCUAACUACGUG
RNAcentral lists this ribosomal RNA (468 nucleotides) under uncultured bacterium. RNAcentral's name for it is "partial 16S ribosomal RNA". It matches the Rfam family "Bacterial small subunit ribosomal RNA", at positions 28 to 507 of the family's 1533-position model. The record is from RNAcentral.